Molecule: ribosomal RNA, 432 nt
Filed under: uncultured bacterium
Lineage: Bacteria
Description: partial 16S ribosomal RNA
Rfam family: Bacterial small subunit ribosomal RNA
Source: RNAcentral
AACGAACGCUGGCGGCAGGCCUAACACAUGCAAGUCGAGCGAGGACUUCGGUCCUAGCGGCGGACGGGUGAGUAACGCGUGGGAACGUGCCCUUUGCUUCGGAAUAGCCCUGGGAAACUGGGAGUAAUACCGGAUGAGCCCUUUGGGGGAAAGAUUUAUCGGCGAAGGAUCGGCCCGCGUUGGAUUAGGUAGUUGGUGGGGUAAUGGCCUGCCAAGCCGACGAUCCAUAGCUGGUUUGAGAGGAUGAUCAGCCACACUGGGACUGAGACACGGCCCAGACUCCUACGGGAGGCAGCAGUGGGGAAUCUUAGACAAUGGGGGAAACCCUGAUCUAGCCAUGCCGCGUGAGCGAUGAAGGCCUUAGGGUUGUAAAGCUCUUUCAGCUGGGAAGAUAAUGACGGUACCAGCAGAAGAAGCCCCGGCUAACUCCGU